Molecule: ribosomal RNA, 568 nt
Filed under: uncultured bacterium
Lineage: Bacteria
Description: bacterial SSU rRNA
Rfam family: Bacterial small subunit ribosomal RNA
Source: RNAcentral
CCUACGGGAGGCAGCAGUUGGAAUAUCGGACAAUUGGGGUAACCCCCUGAUCCAGCCAUGCCGCGUGAGUGAUGAAGGCCUUCGGGUUGUAAAGCUCUUUUAGUAGGGAAGAAGGGAAACUUGACUGUACCUACAGAAAAAGCACCGGCUAACUCUGUGCCAGCAGCCGCGGUAAUACAGAGGGUGCAAGCGUUGUUCGGAAUUAUUGGGCGUAAAGCGCGUGUAGGCGGUCGAAUAAGUCUGGUGUGAAAGCCCGGGGCUCAACCCCGGAAGUGCACUGGAUACUGUUUGACUAGAGGACGAGAGAGGAGAGUGGAAUUCCUGGUGUAGGGGUGAAAUCCGUAGAUAUCAGGAGGAACAUCUGUGGCGAAGGCGGCUCUCUGGCUCGUUUCUGACGCUGAGACGCGAAAGCGUGGGGAGCAAACAGGAUUAGAUACCCUGGUAGUCCACGCCCUAAACGAUGAAUACUAGUCGUCGGGAUACCUAAUUGUCUCGGUGACGCAGCUAACGCAUUAAGUAUUCCGCCUGGGAAUUACGGUCGCAAGAUUAAACUCAAAGGAAUUGACGG